Molecule: small nucleolar RNA, 72 nt
Organism: Mustela putorius furo (domestic ferret)
Lineage: Eukaryota; Metazoa; Chordata; Mammalia; Carnivora; Mustelidae
Source: Ensembl
UGGAUCGAUGAUGACCGCUGGUGGCGUAUGAGUCGCGUACGAUGAAUACGUGUCUGGAACUCUGAGGUCCAA